Molecule: ribosomal RNA, 465 nt
Filed under: uncultured bacterium
Lineage: Bacteria
Description: partial 16S ribosomal RNA
Rfam family: Bacterial small subunit ribosomal RNA
Source: RNAcentral
GACGAACGCUGGCGGUGUGCUUAACACAUGCAAGUCGAACGGUAAGGCCCUUUCGGGGGUACACGAGUGGCGAACGGGUGAGUAACACGUGAGUAACCUGCCCUCAUCUCUGGGAUAACAGUCGGAAACGGUUGCUAAUACUGGAUAUGAGCCUGCAAGGCAUCUUGUGGGUUGGAAGGAUUUUUUGGUUGGGGAUGGACUCGCGGCCUAUCAGCUUGUUGGUGAGGUAGUGGCUCACCAAGGCUUCGACGGGUAGCCGGCCUGAGAGGGCGACCGGCCACAUUGGGACUGAGAUACGGCCCAAACUCCUACGGGAGGCAGCAGUGGGGAAUAUUGCACCAUGGACGGAAGGCUGAUGCAGCAACGCCGCGUGCGGGAUGACGGCCUUCGGGUUGUAAACCGCUUUCAAUUGUGACGAAGCUUUUUGUGACGGUAGCAGUAGAAGAAGCACCGGCUAACUACGUG